RNAcentral lists this long non-coding RNA (1842 nucleotides) under Citrus sinensis (sweet orange). Its description in RNAcentral is "long non-coding RNA (CSIN_LNC000481)". Lineage: Eukaryota; Viridiplantae; Streptophyta; Magnoliopsida; Sapindales; Rutaceae. The record is from RNAcentral.
GGAGAUUGGAUGGGAUGACAUUUUACAUGAUGAUUUUAGUAAAGGCAUAUUUGAGAUGGAGUUAGAAGACGUGGAAGAGGCUGCUGAUGAUGCUGAGCAAGUUGGUGAUGAGGUAGAAUCGAUAAAUUUUCAUGUUUGGUGAAUCACCUGAUUUUCAUAUCAACAACUAUAACAGAAAACGUUAGAAUCAGUGCCGAGUAUGGAAUUAGUUCAGUAUAUGCUGCUGAAAUUUGUACAGAAAUUAUGAAAGUGGAAGUUCCUUUUGUGAAGAAAAGAAAUAAAGCCAUACAAAAUGAACUGUAGAAAAUUGGUGGAUCUUUUUUUUUUUGAUUUGUUUUUACUUGUGGGAAAUAAUGUAACCUGAUAGCUUCCAAGUGGUUUUUUAAGUCGGAAGAGUUUAAGUGGAAACCUAAUUGCUGAACUACUAGAUAGCUUGAUGGUGCUAACUUUUGAGCAUCUUGAAUCAUGUGAAGGCACAGGCUGUUUGAUUGAGGUAUUUUCUAAAUUCUUAUUCCUUUUACUUGCUCUUUGGGUCCUCUUUCUGGCUUGUUUUAAAGAGAUUAAUUGUUGUGGUUAGGUAUUUGAAAUUCUUCUCCAGUCAUUCCAGAUAACUGUUCUAAACACGUACAAGUCAAAGUUCGCUCAGGUAAUGCACAAUUUUUCUUUAUUUUUCAUUGUUUUGGUGAACUUAUAAAGACACUCAGACACACAUCUCUAUGUUUCCAUGUGUGCAUUCUUUCCUUAGUUUUUAGUUUUUUCUAAUUAGUAUUUUUUUAAAUUGGUACAAUCCACUGAUAUAUCACAAGAUGACGUCUUCUAGGAUUGUAGAUAUAUAAUUUAUAGUAUAGCCUAGAAAUCUAUUGAGACUCGGAAAUCUACUCCUACUACUACUGGGGAGAUAUAUCUAUCCUUGUUACACAUUUUGUGGAAAUGGGUUAAGCAGGGGCUCAGACUGAUUGUUGAGGGCACAACGCCCAGUGGCAUAGUUUUUCAGUUUCUUAUUAUUUCAUUUGAUGGAUUUUUCUUCUUUUUUUUUGGGUUGGGGGGGGGGGGGGGGUUGGGGCUGUUUGUGAAAGAACUGCCAUUUUGAAUGUUAUCCCUGAAUCCGUUAUUUAUUUAUUUUAUUUGAAUGCUGUCUGUAAUAAGAAACUGUUGUCUACAUGAUUAAGUGUGACUUUUGAGAUUUAUGAUUUAUCCAUCUAUUUCUGUAGUUGAAGAUGAUUGUUGUUUACACGGAGAACAUGCUAAAGCUGGAGAGUAGUACAAUGGGAGAAUUUGUUAGGAGCACAAUGCUUAUGGCAGUGGUGGAUAGGCUAAUAGAUUUGGAUGUAAGUCAAUGGAACUGCCAUGUAACGUGGUGCUCGAAAAUAAUUUGUGUUUGUAUGAAUAAUCUUAUGUGGUGACAUUUCUUAUAGAUGGAGAUUGGAUGGGAUGACAUUUUACAUGAUGAUUUUAGUAAAGGCAUAUUUGAGAUGGAGUUAGAAGACGUGGAAGAGGCUGCUGAUGAUGCUGAGCAAGUUGGUGAUGAGGUAGAAUCGAUAAAUUUUCAUGUUUGGUGAAUCACCUGAUUUUCAUAUCAACAACUAUAACAGAAAACGUUAGAAUCAGUGCCGAGUAUGGAAUUAGUUCAGUAUAUGCUGCUGAAAUUUGUACAGAAAUUAUGAAAGUGGAAGUUCCUUUUGUGAAGAAAAGAAAUAAAGCCAUACAAAAUGAACUGUAGAAAAUUGGUGGAUCUUUUUUUUUUUGAUUUGUUUUUACUUGUGGGAAAUAAUGUAACCUGAUAGCUUCCAAGUGGUUUUUUAAGUCGGAAGAGUUUAAGUGGAAACCUAAUUGCUGAACUAC